Molecule: long non-coding RNA, 1281 nt
Organism: Neopsephotus bourkii (Bourke's parrot)
Lineage: Eukaryota; Metazoa; Chordata; Aves; Psittaciformes; Psittacidae
Exons: 2
Source: RefSeq, a predicted model, not a curated record
GCUGCUUCUGCUUCCAGCGGCUCUGGGCUCGUGCUGACAGGGAGAUCUGUUGCUGUUGUUGGAAUGGGAGCUGGAAGCAGGGAGAGCAGAUGAGGCCGGAAGCCAAGCUGUGCAAACACUGCUGGGGCGGCAGCACCUUGCUAGCCCUGCGCGGGGAUGGUGGCUGGGAUGUGACAGGGCAGCCCCGGUGCUGAGAGCAGCUCAGACACCCACAACCGAGUCCCAGGGUGCCCAUUUGGCUGGGAGCAGGACUAUAGCCUGAGAGAUGGUGGCCUGUGAUCAAGUGCCCCAUCCUGCACUGUGGACAGGAAUCCCCCAUGGGCAGCAUGAACGUGUGCACAUGCGUAUGUGCGGCACACCGGGAAGGUGGAUGUUGCAAUGUUUGUUUGAUGUGGGACACACAGGGGCAUCUGUUCCGGCAGAGCUGGCUCUGGCGUGUGUCUGACAAAUGGUGUUUGGUUUGGUGGUGGAGCAUAAUGUAAGUGAUGACGGCUGCAGGCACAGGGAAGGGAGCACCUGUCUGAAGGAUGCUCUGGGGGAGAAAGGAGACGGACAGAAGGAUGUUGGACAUGGCUCUUGGUGGUGGCCAGGUGCUCCUUUGCAGGACCUGCAUCUCACUGCCUGGCCAGGGCACCUGGCUCUCUGCACCCAGCCCUGUGCAAUGUGCCUUGGGCCACCAGGAGAAGGGAGAACAAAACCAAAUGUCACCUGGAGAAGUUCCUGCUGCUGCACCCCCAGGGCCUGGAGCUGCUGCCCCAGGAUGGGGAUUAGCACAUCACUGAGAAAACCACCCUGGUUGAUUGUCCCUGGGUGAUCAGACAGAUGAUCGAUGCUGGGAUUAGCCUGUACGGUGGCUGCAGUGACAGCAUCGACCUGGAGCAGCAGCUUCACCCUGCCUGUGCUAGCACUGAGUUCAACCCAUCCCCGUGGCCUCCAGACUGGUGUAUGCACUGAGCAGUGUCGGGCCUCUACCAGCCCCAUGAGGGGCUCGGGGGCACUGACAGCAGACAGCAAUUGCCACAGAUGUUCUGCAUUUGGGAUUUCUCCCCUUUCCAGCCUCAUUAGUAUUGAAAUUAAAAGCAAGUGUUUGUGAAUUGGUAGCUGUUCUCCAAGACCCUAAUUAGCAAAUCUCUUCAUCCCCCACGGCUGCAAUCUAAUAAUCAAAAAAAACCCCCAACACCCAAACAAGCCCCAAACCUUGUUUGAUGGAUCAGGAGUGCUGCUGGAACAGUCAGAGACGGCUCUUCCUGCUUAGUAUGAUAAUUAAACACUUCAAUUGCA